CGCUGGCGGCGUGCUUAACACAUGCAAGUCGAACGGGAUCCAGGCAGCUUGCUGCCUGGUGAGAGUGGCGAACGGGUGAGUAAUGCGUGACCGACCUGCCCCAUACACCGGAAUAGCUCCUGGAAACGGGUGGUAAUGCCGGAUGCUCCGACUCCUCGCAUGGGGUGUCGGGAAAGAUUUCAUCGGUAUGGGAUGGGGUCGCGUCCUAUCAGGUAGUCGGCGGGGUAACGGCCCACCGAGCCUACGACGGGUAGCCGGCCUGAGAGGGCGACCGGCCACAUUGGGACUGAGAUACGGCCCAGACUCCUACGGGAGGCAGCAGUGGGGAAUAUUGCACAAUGGGCGCAAGCCUGAUGCAGCGACGCCGCGUGCGGGAUGACGGCCUUCGGGUUGUAAACCGCUUUUGAUCGGGAGCAAGCCUUCGGGUGAGUGUACCUUUCGAAUAAGCACCGGCUAACUACGUGCCAGCAGCCGCGG
This 477-nucleotide ribosomal RNA is filed under the name Bifidobacterium catenulatum. Its description in RNAcentral is "bacterial SSU rRNA". It matches the Rfam family "Bacterial small subunit ribosomal RNA", at positions 34 to 520 of the family's 1533-position model. The record is from RNAcentral. Lineage: Bacteria; Bacillati; Actinomycetota; Actinomycetes; Bifidobacteriales; Bifidobacteriaceae.